ACGAUAAUUUAUGCCAAACAGACAACAUACAGCAUCAAUAUCCCGGUUAUUCAAUCCAUAAUCAAUAAAACAGUAAAAUAUGCACACGAAACUAUAAAAUGAAAACAUCGAACCUCAUGCCACAUUUAAAACUGUAAAACAGGCCAAAUAGCAGUUAACCGACAAACACACUAGACUCGGGCUCCAUUAGCGACCUUAAGCAAUUU
RNAcentral lists this long non-coding RNA (206 nucleotides) under Carica papaya (papaya). Its description in RNAcentral is "long non-coding RNA (CPAP_LNC015921)". Lineage: Eukaryota; Viridiplantae; Streptophyta; Magnoliopsida; Brassicales; Caricaceae. The record is from RNAcentral.